RNAcentral lists this transfer RNA (75 nucleotides) under Muriicola jejuensis. RNAcentral describes it as "tRNA-Cys". It matches the Rfam family "tRNA". From Rfam's summary of the family: Transfer RNA (tRNA) molecules are approximately 80 nucleotides in length. Their secondary structure includes four short double-helical elements and three loops (D, anti-codon, and T loops). Lineage: Bacteria; Pseudomonadati; Bacteroidota; Flavobacteriia; Flavobacteriales; Flavobacteriaceae. The record is from RNAcentral.
GGCAUUGUGGUCGAAUUGGUUAGACGGAGCUGCGCAACAGCUUUUAUGGUGGUUCGAGUCCACCCGAUGCCUCCA